GUAGGUUCAUGCGUGGUCGUGCAGGUUCCUGCUGUGUGUGUUCGCGCUUCCGCUGCUUCCGCUGCAUACUCUCUCCUCCCGGACUCCGCGUCCUUUCCACUGCCGCGUUUGGCUUUCCCAGCGCACCUCGGACUAGAGACGCUUCCCCGUCGCUUCACCCCGUGCUGCGCUUCCUUCUUCACGCACCGUGGAUGUAUUCUUUUGAACUGCCGUUUGCCGGAUUAUCCCGAUUCUGCACGGGUAUUUUGUGUUGGCUCUGCCUUUGCUGAAUAAAGUUUAUGUUUGCCGUUACUCCGGCUUCCGCCCCCGUACCUCGCAUAACAGUAUGAUAGUCAUAUAUGUAAAUACACAAUUACCUUGCUACAUGUACAUGUCUUCAUUGAACUAAAAUGUAUCUACAGGACGCUCCUGCUAUGCUGCUGUUCGCAAGAAUGUGAACGAUGACAUCACUACUUUCAUCGCUGCUGUUUGCCUAAUGUUCGGCAGUUACUACAGUUUCAACAUUCACUACCCUACUGAACUGGCGUCAGUGCUUGAAUUCCUGCAAAGGUGUUUUUUCAUCAUCAAUCCCGAAAAGGGCACAAAAGUUGUGGAAAAGAAGAACAAAGAGCGACUCCCAGUGAACCCAAGAGCCUUCACCCUAAUCUCUGACCUUUCUGAUCAUGAGUGGUGAGAGACUUUGUAAAGGUGGCCUGCAAAUGGUUUCCCAGUUUAAAUUUUAUGAACAUUGAAAUGUUAAUGACUUGCGUUGUAACCACAUGUUUAGUGGUAGCUAUACUCUGUAAGCACUUGUGCCUUGUUCUGCUUUAGUAGUUCUUACAUUAAAUGUUUAUCUGAACCGUUACCUACUGUAUCUUCCCAAGCUCAGUUUAAAGUGGCAGUUAGAUAGCAGAAAUUCUUUAAAUUCUGAGUCUAAAUUUUUAAAUGAAUGAUCUUAAUCUGAUCUUAAGCCACUCUUUACUUCUGUUAAAACACGAACAGAAAAAUACAUUUAUUGUUUUAAAUGCCUGCCAGUCUUUAAUAAAAAAAAAUACAUGGGA
Silurus meridionalis is the source of this 1040-nucleotide long non-coding RNA. RefSeq lists it as uncharacterized. The record is from RefSeq and is a predicted model, not a curated record. NCBI's taxonomy places the organism in Eukaryota, Metazoa, Chordata, Actinopteri, Siluriformes, Siluridae. The transcript has 2 exons.